UCUCUCAUAAGCUUUAGCAAUUCUUGCUUUUCGACUUUUCAAAAGUCCGUAAUUCUGCACAUGGACGUGCAGAGCCGAGUGGCCGACACGGAUGUCGGCUCACGAGGGUAGGACUUUUGAAAACAAAGAAAAGCUUAGAAUUGCUUAGCGAAAUGAGCG
Molecule: regulatory RNA element, 159 nt
Organism: Caloramator australicus RC3
Lineage: Bacteria; Bacillati; Bacillota; Clostridia; Eubacteriales; Clostridiaceae
Source: Rfam